GAGGAAUAUUGGUCAAUGGGCGGAAGCCUGAACCAGCCAAGUAGCGUGCAGGAUGACGGCCCUAUGGGUUGUAAACUGCUUUUAUACAGGAAUAAAGUUAGCCACGUGUGGUUAUUUGUAGGUACUGUAUGAAUAAGGACCGGCUAAUUCCGUGCCAGCAGCCGCGGUAAUACGGAAGGUCCAGGCGUUAUCCGGAUUUAUUGGGUUUAAAGGGAGCGUAGGCCGUCUGUUAAGCGUGUUGUGAAAUGUAGAUGCUCAACAUCUGAAUUGCAGCGCGAACUGGCAGACUUGAGUGUGCGCAACGUAGGCGGAAUUCGUGGUGUAGCGGUGAAAUGCUUAGAUAUGACGAAGAACUCCGAUUGCGAAGGCAGCUGACGGGAGCACUACUGACGCUGAAGCUCGAAAGUGCGGGUAUCGGAC
RNAcentral lists this ribosomal RNA (420 nucleotides) under uncultured bacterium. Its description in RNAcentral is "bacterial SSU rRNA". It matches the Rfam family "Bacterial small subunit ribosomal RNA", at positions 356 to 773 of the family's 1533-position model. The record is from RNAcentral.